RNAcentral lists this ribosomal RNA (253 nucleotides) under uncultured bacterium. RNAcentral's name for it is "partial 16S ribosomal RNA". It matches the Rfam family "Bacterial small subunit ribosomal RNA", at positions 524 to 776 of the family's 1533-position model. The record is from RNAcentral.
UACGUAGGGUGCGAGCGUUAAUCGGAAUUACUGGGCGUAAAGCGUGCGCAGGCGGUUUUGUAAGCCAGAUGUGAAAGCCCCGGGCUCAACCUGGGAAUGGCAUUUGGGACUGCAAGGCUUGAGUGCGGCAGAGGAGACUGGAAUUCCUGGUGUAGCAGUGAAAUGCGUAGAUAUCAGGAAGAACACCGGUGGCGAAGGCGGCCCACUGGCUCGAUACUGACGCUGAGGUGCGAAAGCGUGGGGAGCAAACAGG